UCCUACGGGAGGUAGCAGUGAGGAAUAUUGGGCAAUGCCCGCAAGGGUGACCCAGCAACGCCGCGUGGAGGAUGAAGGCCGUAAGGUUGUAAACUCCUGUUAGAGGAGAAGAACAGUACCGAUUGGAUCGGUAUUUGACUGUACCCUCAGAGAAAGCCCCGGCUAACUACGUGCCAGCAGCCGCGGUAAUACGUAGGGGGCAAGCGUUGUCCGGAUUUACUGGGUGUAAAGGGCGCGCAGGCGGAAUAUCAAGUCAGAGGUGAAAUCCUACAGCUUAACUGUAGAACUGCCUUUGAUACUGUUAUUCUUGAGUUCGGGAGAGAGAGACGGAAUUCCAGGUGUAGUGGUGAAAUACGUAGAUAUCUGGAAGAACACCAGUUGCGAAGGCGGUCUCUUGGUCCGAUACUGACGCUGAGGCGCGAAAGCGUGGGGAGCAAACAGGAUUAGAUAACCUGGUAGA
Molecule: ribosomal RNA, 460 nt
Filed under: uncultured bacterium
Lineage: Bacteria
Description: bacterial SSU rRNA
Rfam family: Bacterial small subunit ribosomal RNA
Source: RNAcentral